Molecule: ribosomal RNA, 429 nt
Filed under: uncultured bacterium
Lineage: Bacteria
Description: bacterial SSU rRNA
Rfam family: Bacterial small subunit ribosomal RNA
Source: RNAcentral
CAUGCAAGUCGAACGCGUCUUGGGGGCAACUCCAAGAUGAGUGGCGAACGGGUGAGUAACACGUGGGUAAUCUCCCCCCGAGUGAGGAAUAAGCCCGCGAAAGCGGGUCUAAUACUGCAUAACACCCCGGGGCAUAAGCUUCCGGGGUCAAAGCCGUAAGGCGCUUGGGGAUGAGCUUGCGUCCUAUUAGCUAGUUGGUAGGGUAACGGCCUACCAAGGUUAUGAUGGGUAGCCGGCCUGAGAGGGUGCUCGGCCACACUGGGACUGAGACACGGCCCAGACUCCUACGGGAGGCAGCAGUGAGGAAUCUUGCGCAAUGGGCGAAAGCCUGACGCAGCGACGCCGCGUGGAGGAAGACGGCCUUCGGGUUGUAAAGCCCUCUCAGGUGGGAAGAAACAUAUCGGUGCUAAUAUCACCGAUGUUUGACGG